RNAcentral lists this ribosomal RNA (499 nucleotides) under uncultured bacterium. RNAcentral's name for it is "partial 16S ribosomal RNA". It matches the Rfam family "Bacterial small subunit ribosomal RNA", at positions 28 to 507 of the family's 1533-position model. The record is from RNAcentral.
GACGAACGCUGGCGGCGUGCUUAACACAUGCAAGUCGAACGGGUCUGCCCUGUUUUUUGCGGGGUGGGUCAGUGGCGAACGGGUGAGUAACACGUGAGUAACCUGCCCCUCACUUCUGGAUAACCGCUUGAAAGGGUGGCUAAUACGGGGUGUUCUGGCUGUGCCGCAUGGUGUGGCUUGGAAAGAUUCACUUUUGUGGUGUUUUGGUGGGGGUUGGGCUCGCGGCCUAUCAGCUUGUUGGUGGGGUGAUGGCCUGCCAAUGCUUUGACGGGUCGCCGGCGUGAGAGGGUGCGCGGACCGAAGAGGAGUGAGAGUAGGCCCAGACUCCUGCGGGAGGCAGCAGAGGGGGUACUGAACAAGGGGAGGAAUCCUGAUGCCGCGACGAGGCGUGAGGGAUGGCGGCCUUUGGGUUGUGAACCUCUUUCGCCGGUGAAGAAGGUCCUGCUUUUUGCGGUGGGGUUGAAGGUAGCCGGGUGAUGAAGCACCGGCUAACUACGUG